UACGAAGGGGGCUAGCGUUGUUCGGAAUUACUGGGCGUAAAGCGCACGUAGGCGGAUUUGUAAGUCAGGGGUGAAAUCCCGGGGCUCAACCUCGGAACUGCCUUUGAUACUGCAAGUCUUGAGUCCGAUAGAGGUGAGUGGAAUUCCUAGUGUAGAGGUGAAAUUCGUAGGUAUUAGGAAGAACACCAGUGGCGAAGGCGGCUCACUGGAUCGGUACUGACGCUGAGGUGCGAAAGCGUGGGGAGCAAACAGG
Molecule: ribosomal RNA, 253 nt
Filed under: uncultured bacterium
Lineage: Bacteria
Description: partial 16S ribosomal RNA
Rfam family: Bacterial small subunit ribosomal RNA
Source: RNAcentral